GGUUAAGCGAAUAAGCGUACACGGUGGAUGCCUAGGCAAUCAGAGGCGAUGAAGGACGUGCUAAUCUGCGAAAAGCGUCGGUAAGGUGAUAUGAACCGUUAUACCCGACGAUAUCCGAAUGGGGAAACCCAGUAUCCAAUGGAUACUAUCAUUAACUGAAUCCAUAGGUUAAUGAGGCGAACCGGGAGAACUGAAACAUCUCAGUACCCCGAGGAAAAGAAAUCAACCGAGAUUCCCCUAGUAGCGGCGAGCGAACGGGGAGCAGCCCAGAGUCUUAAUCAAUAACAGUGUCAGGAGAACGGUCUGGAAAGUCCGGCAGUAAAGGGUGAUAGCCCCGUAUCUGAAGAUGCUGUUGUUGUGAACUCGACGAGUAGGGCGGGACACGUGUUAUCCUGUCUGAAUAUGGGGGGACCAUCCUCCAAGGCUAAAUACUCCUGAUUGACCGAUAGUGAACCAGUACCGUGAGGGAAAGGCGAAAAGAACCCCGGCGAGGGGAGUGAAAAAGAACCUGAAACCGUGUACGUACAAGCAGUAGGAGCCUCUUUAUGGGGUGACUGCGUACCUUUUGUAUAAUGGGUCAGCGACUUAUAUUCUGUAGCAAGGUUAACCGUAUAGGGGAGCCGUAGGGAAACCGAGUCUUAACUGGGCGAAUGAGUUGCAGGGUAUAGACCCGAAAC
This 677-nucleotide ribosomal RNA is filed under the name Proteus mirabilis. RNAcentral's name for it is "partial 23S ribosomal RNA". It matches the Rfam family "Bacterial large subunit ribosomal RNA", at positions 1 to 721 of the family's 2925-position model. Lineage: Bacteria; Pseudomonadati; Pseudomonadota; Gammaproteobacteria; Enterobacterales; Morganellaceae. The record is from RNAcentral.